Molecule: ribosomal RNA, 520 nt
Filed under: uncultured Glomus
Lineage: Eukaryota; Fungi; Glomeromycota; Glomeromycetes; Glomerales; Glomeraceae
Description: SSU rRNA
Rfam family: Eukaryotic small subunit ribosomal RNA
Source: RNAcentral
CGCAGCCGCGGUAAUUCCAGCUCCAAUAGCGUAUAUUAAAGUUGUUGCAGUUAAAAAGCUCGUAGUUGAAUUUCGGGGUUAGUAGGUUGGUCAUGCCUCUGGUAUGUACUGGUCUCACUGAUUCCUCCUUCCUGAUGAGCCGUAAUGCCAUUAAUUUGGUGUUGCGGGGAAUUUGGACUGUUACUUUGAAAAAAUUAGAGUGUUUAAAGCAAGCUAACGCUUGAAUACAUUAGCAUGGAAUAAUGAAAUAGGACGUUCGAUCCUAUUUUGUGGUUUCUAGGAUUGACGUAAUGAUUAAUAGGGAUAGUUGGGGGCAUUAGUAUUCAAUUGUCAGAGGUGAAAAUUCUUGGAUUUAUUGAAGACUAACUACUGCGAAAGCAUUUGCCAAGGAUGUUUUCAUUAAUCAAGAACGAAAGUUAGGGAUCGAAGACGAUCAGAUACCGUCGUAGUCUUAACCAUAAACUAUGCCGACUAGGGAUCGGAUGAUGUUUAAUUUUUAAUGUACUUCAUUCGGCNCCGU